GCGGGAGUCCGAUAGCGGUCAAUUCGGCUGGCUUGAGGGGCCAGUGACUUAGUGUCUUCGAGAGUUCGAAUCUCUCCUCCCGCA
This 84-nucleotide transfer RNA is filed under the name archaeon. RNAcentral's name for it is "tRNA-Leu". It matches the Rfam family "tRNA". From Rfam's summary of the family: Transfer RNA (tRNA) molecules are approximately 80 nucleotides in length. Their secondary structure includes four short double-helical elements and three loops (D, anti-codon, and T loops). Further hydrogen bonds mediate the characteristic L-shaped molecular structure. tRNAs have two regions of fundamental functional importance: the anti-codon, which is responsible for specific mRNA codon recognition, and the 3' end, to which the tRNAs corresponding amino acid is attached (by aminoacyl-tRNA synthetases). tRNAs cope with the degeneracy of the genetic code in two manners: having more than one tRNA (with a specific anti-codon) for a particular amino acid; and 'wobble' base-pairing, i.e. permitting non-standard base-pairing at the 3rd anti-codon position. The record is from RNAcentral. RNAcentral also lists the same sequence under 1 other name.